This is an RNA transcript of Dioscorea cayenensis subsp. rotundata (Guinea yam), 1738 nucleotides long. It is a transcript of the gene named derlin-2.2-like, with no coding region annotated. The transcript has 4 exons. Lineage: Eukaryota; Viridiplantae; Streptophyta; Magnoliopsida; Dioscoreales; Dioscoreaceae. The record is from RefSeq and is a predicted model, not a curated record.
CUAACUAUCACGUGCCUUUCUUGUACGUUGCCCUAAUUCUCUCAUCUUCCAUCUCUCGCCGCCGCCGCUCCUUCUAUGCUUGAUUUCAAGGCGAGCAGAGCCCGGCGCAUCCCUCCCGCCGCUCAGCCCUCCUCUCUCUACUACCCCACCGGGCUCCGACGCCGCUUCUUCUCUCUAGCCGCAGGAGUGAUCGGCAGCCACACGACGGAAGCUGUUUCCUCUCUCUCGUCUUCUCUCUUUCUCGUAUCUGGUCUCCCCGCUCUCGGUUCCUGGCUCCAAUCUGCCACUCCCCUUCUCCUCUCUCCUGCACCAGCGAUCCCAGUCGCCGUUUCCUCUCUGCUAUGCCCCCGAUCCCUGGCUGCCGCUCCCCUCUCGGUUCCCAGCUCUGGUCCGCUGCUCCCCUCUCGAUGCCCUUGUCCGAGAAGGUCGGCUCACCUUGAAAUCAGGUACAGAGGCAAUGAUGCCCUGAAAAACCUCUCGUGCCCUCAUCUCUCUACAACGAUGGCGUAGUAGCUUGGAUGGCCUAGUAGGCAACCGCUACUCCUAUUGUUGUAGAGGGAGAGGGAAGGGUGGGAGAAAAUUUCCAAUCUGAGCCUCUUUUUCAUUCGCAUGAAUCCUUUUGAUGUGGCUGGUUUGUGUAAUUGGUUCGCUCUAUAUAGCAUUACUCUUUUAGAUGUUCUUCUGGCCAUGAUGAUUUGCCCUAUAAAAGAGUAUGGAGAUUGGGUGGUGUGGCAACAUCAGUUGCAGCCCUUGAUUUAUCAAUGUGAAUGAAUAGAGGGCAAGAUCUGAGCCUAUGAUGUUCAUUGUCUGAAUUUUUUCUUGUCUUAAAUUCAGUCUAAUCUAGUUCUUGAAGCAGGAGCAGGAAUGUACGAAUUUCCUCCACAUAUUUGAGAAACUUCUGGGAUGCCCAUUCUGGACAGUAUAUUGAGGAGUAUAAACAAUGCAUGGACUAAUCAAGAAAAUUUUAACUGCAGAUCUAAUGAAUAGAAGGCAAGAUCUAUGAGGAGUAUGAACUGCUGCUGAGUCUUCAAGAAGGUUGCAGUGACUUUUUUCAUAAGAUUCUGAGCUAUCUGUAACACCAAGAUGGAAAUUAACAAGUGGAAGAAUCUUUUAAAGAACUAUAUUAAGAGCCAAGAUGAAGAGGUUCUUUUGGGCUUCUCUUUUCUCAUGGGCACUAGUACAUGGGUGGAUAUUCUGCUAACUAUGCAUCAAGCCAUAAUGUGGUUGUUCUGGUGAUGCUAAAUUGCUACUAUUCUCUAAUGCAAAUAUCAAGGUCAUCUUCAGUAACAUUUGAGCAUUCAUUAUUUUUCUCAGGCUAUAAUGUGAGAAGUGAAGUGUUUUUCAGAAAUUAUGUUCUUAUAAGCUGUUAUGAAAUGACUUACUGGUUGGCAAGAAAGUGAUGUGUUCUUUUUAACUGAAUAUUGGAAACAAUCACUUACCCAAAUUUGUUUACCCCUGAUUUUAGGGUAUGAUCGCUAGUCAUGCUUACUAUUACCUCGAAGAUGUCUAUCCAAAGAUGACGGGCCAUUGCCCAUUGAAGACCCCUUCUUUCAUCAAAUCUCUAUUUGCUGAUGAUAAUGUUGUUGUGGCACAGCCAGAAAAUGUGAGAUUCGCCCCUCCAACACCAGAGCUUCAUCAAGACUAUGUACUCUAAUGCCAUAAGAUCUUCUGCUUGUUGGCAUGAACAUCAGAUGUUAAAUGAUAUAUAUAUAUAUAUAUAGAUAUAUAGAUAUGUUUA